CCGAGGACGUGCCCAGGCUCACUAUUGCUCCAGGUGGGUGACUUUGUGCUGUGGACAGGAACCCACUCCUGCCGCUCAGGUUAGGGUUAGGAAAUGGUGACUUCCCUCACUGACAUCUUUUAAAUGCUUCCCAAGUGCCAUUUGUUUUAAAAAAGCUCCGAUCUCACUUAUUUCCCUUAGUAGUGCAGGAAGGUCACUGCUGUUGUCCCAUUUCACAGAUAAGCAAACAUGGAGAUCCUAAUGCCUCCCUUACAGGGUUGUGUGGAAGGCUAGGGUAAGGUGUCCACGAUGCUUUCUGGGGGUAAUGCAUUCAGGUACAUGCAAAACCCAAGUGCUUUUAGGUUUGUCUGCAGGUUCACGUGCAAUGACAGGCAGUAGGAGCCAUGGAAGAGCCCCUAGCUCUCUGUCUCUCUCCCUCCUCUCUGCUUCUGGCCACCCCCGAGGGACAGAGGACACCGGGCGGACAUGAGAACACCAUACCAUGGACCUUUAAUUAGAACACAGACAUGUUCCAUACAGACUGAAAACCGGAAACCCGGGGGAGGUUAGGCUUAGUUGUAGAGAUCAGAAAUCAAGCAAGCCGUGGCCACUGUGUCCCUGGGCAGAGGACAGGGUCCCAGGACGCUGGAGGACACAGCAGUGUCUUUCCCUCUGAGGUGGACACUCAGGGCAUUUGCUGGUCAGGCUGGGCUGGACUGGGGAUGGCUCCUUUGGUUCGGUGUUUUCCAGGUGGGAGUCUCAGCCCCAGAGUAGAGAAAUGGCCUUCAGGUGUACCGAGUCCCCUGGGCCAGUGUGGUGGGUUCUGCUAGGUCCUUGGCCAAUGGACACUUGGAGGAAAACCAAGAGGUGGGACAGAAGUAAGACAAAGUCCUCAGAGCACACGCCCCCAGAGAAAGAGCUUCCAAGGGGACGAGGGGCACCGCCAGCCCCAUCUGAGCUCAAGGGACUUGGGCACAACACUCCCCCUUCCCAGGCCUCAGUUUUCUCAUCUGAAAAGUGGUACUCGGACCUACGUCACCGGCUUCCUUGAAUGAUUGUACAAAACAAGGUCUGACCACCAACGGGGGUAAAAUGCAGGGCAGAGCCAAACCAUCUUGGUCUCUCCUGGGAUGACUGUGGACCACUAGGCUUGGAGAGAAGUUCAAGGUAAAUACAGAGGACUUGAACUCAAGUCACGGGAGUUAUCAAGGGGACGACACCUCGCGGUCUCCCAUAGUUGGCACCAGAACUCAGCUAUCAUGACCUCCCCCAGCAGAUGAAAUCCACACCCCACCUUUCUGUUCCCGUCCUUGGUCGCUGCCGUUCAACCUACCGCAGAAGACCCAGGGACAAAAAUUCCAACAGGAAGCUGUCCUCCGGGUCAGAGCCAGAGCCCUCUCUCCCCCACCCUGCCAGGAUCGCUCAGGCCAAUUCCCAUUUCACAGAUGACAAGACUGAGGCCCGAGGCCCAUUCCCUUCCAUGCACACAGACACACGAGCCAGAGAAGCACAGAGAAAUGCGACGCCAGUCUCUUUGGCUUGGCUCCUUCCAAGAUGAGGCGGAGUAGCUUCUCUUGGCUACAGACCAGGGGCGACCUUUUUCAUUCUCUCCACUUUUAUUUUUCAAGGAGCUGUGACUGUUUAAGAGAAGUUGGUUCCCGGGGAAGGCAUUUGAUUCCUCAAUGAAUUUCCAUCGGAAUGAGGUUUUUCCUGGAGAUAAACCAGUGCUUUAGUUCCAUUUGGAGCUUAAUUGCUAUGGCCGGAGCCUCUGUUGCUGCCAAUUCCAAUUUGUUUCGGUGAGUCUCGAACUCAUUACCUGGGUG
RNAcentral lists this long non-coding RNA (1802 nucleotides) under Marmota monax (woodchuck). Lineage: Eukaryota; Metazoa; Chordata; Mammalia; Rodentia; Sciuridae. The record is from RNAcentral.